CCUACGGGGCGCAGCAGUGAGGAAUAUUGGUCAAUGGCCGGAAGGCUGAACCAGCCAAGCCGCGUGAAGGACGAAGGUGCCAAGCAUUGUAAACUUCUUUUGUCAAGGGACAAAAUCAGGCUCGAGAGCCUGACCGAGGGUACUUGAAGAAAAAGCAUCGGCUAACUCCGUGCCAGCAGCCGCGGUAAUACGGAGGAUGCGAGCGUUAUCCGGAUUUAUUGGGUUUAAAGGGUGCGUAGGCGGACUGUUAAGUCAGCGGUAAAAGCCCGGGGCUCAACCCCGGCGAGCCGUUGAAACUGGCGGUCUUGAGAUGUCGAGAGGUAGGCGGAAUGCGCAGUGUAGCGGUGAAAUGCUUAGAUAUUGCGCAGAACUCCGAGUGCGAAGGCAGCAUACCGGCGGCGAUCUGACGCUGAGGCACGAAAGCGUGGGUAUCGAACAGGAUUAGAUACCCCAGUAGUC
RNAcentral lists this ribosomal RNA (459 nucleotides) under uncultured bacterium. RNAcentral's name for it is "partial 16S ribosomal RNA". It matches the Rfam family "Bacterial small subunit ribosomal RNA", at positions 338 to 795 of the family's 1533-position model. The record is from RNAcentral.